UCCUACGGGGGGCAGCAGUGGGGGAUAUUGCACAAUGGGGGGAACCCUGAUGCAGCGACGCCGCGUGGGUGAAGAAGCGCCUCGGCGCGUAAAGCCCUGUCAGCAGGGAAGAAAAUGACGGUACCUGAAGAAGAAGCCCCGGCUAACUACGGGCCAGCAGCCGCGGUAAUACGUAGGGGGCAAGCGUUAUCCGGAUUUACUGGGUGUAAAGGGGGCGCAGUCGGCGAUGCAAGCCAGGAGUGAAAGCCCGAGGCCCAACCUCGGGACUGCUCUUGGAACUGCGCGGCUGGAGUGCAGGAGGGGCG
RNAcentral lists this ribosomal RNA (305 nucleotides) under uncultured bacterium. Its description in RNAcentral is "partial 16S ribosomal RNA". It matches the Rfam family "Bacterial small subunit ribosomal RNA", at positions 337 to 659 of the family's 1533-position model. The record is from RNAcentral.